UUCUUUUGGUUGACAAACAAAGAUAGGUGA
This 30-nucleotide non-coding RNA is filed under the name Mus musculus (house mouse). The record is from RNAcentral. Lineage: Eukaryota; Metazoa; Chordata; Mammalia; Rodentia; Muridae.